GAGGGCAGGUCUGGUGCCAGCAGCCGCGGUAAUUCCAGCUCCAAUAGCGUAUAUUAAAAUUGUUGCAGUUAAAAAGCUCGUAGUUGAAUUUCUGCUGCUCCGCAUUUUCCCUUUGAGGGGUUUUUGCGCUGUGGCUUAUUUCGGACUGUGUUUCGCACUGUCCGGAUGUUUACUUUGAGAAAAUUAGAGUGCUCAAAGCAGGCUUUUGCCUUGAAUAGUUUAGCAUGGAAUAAUAAAGUAGGACUUUGGUUCUAUUUUGUUGGUUUUAGGUACCAAAGUAAUGGUUAAUAGGAACAGUUGGGGGCAUUCGUAUUUAACUGUCAGAGGUGAAAUUCUUAGAUUUGUUAAAGACGAACUACUGCGAAAGCAUUUGCCAAGGAUGUUUUCAUUAAUCAAGAACGAAAGUUAGGGGAUCGAAGACGAUCAGAUACCGUCGUAGUCCUAACCAUAAACUAUGCCGACUAGAGAUUGGAGGUCGUCAGUUUUUCCGACUCCUUCAGCACCUUGAGAG
Molecule: ribosomal RNA, 511 nt
Filed under: Theileria cervi
Lineage: Eukaryota; Apicomplexa; Aconoidasida; Piroplasmida; Theileriidae
Description: SSU rRNA
Rfam family: Eukaryotic small subunit ribosomal RNA
Source: RNAcentral